UAGAGAUGGAGUGACACAGUAGGAUAAGCUAACCGUACUGUUGGUUAUGUACGGCUAAGCAUUGAGGCAGUCUAAAUAGGCAAAUCCGUUUAGACAAUGCUAGGAUGUGAUGGGGAAGCCCUUCGGGGCGAAGUAGCUGAUUUCACACUGUCAAGAAAAGCUUCUAUCGAGUUUAAAGGCGCCCGUACCGUAAACCGACACAGGUGGGUGAGGAGAGUAUCCUAAGGCCAGCGAGAGAACUAUUGUUAAGGAACUCGGCAAAAUGACCCCGUAACUUAGGGAGAAGGGGUGCCUGUCUAUGACAGGCCGCAGAGAAUAGGCCCAAGCGACUGUUUACCAAAAACACAGGUUUCUGCUAAGUCGCAAGACGAUGUAUAGGAGCUGACGCCUGCCCGGUGCUGGAAGGUUAAGGGGAUCUGUUAGAGCAAUCGAAGCAGUGAACUUAAGCCCCAGUAAACGGCGGCCGUAACUAUAACGGUCCUAAGGUAGCGAAAUUCCUUGUCGGGUAAGUUCCGACCCGCACGAAAGGCGUAACGAUUUGGGCACUGUCUCAACAAUAGACUCGGUGAAAUUGUAAUCCCGGUGAAGAUGCCGGGUACCUGCGACAGGACGGAAAGACCCCAUGGAGCUUUACUGUAGCUUGACGUUGGGUCUUGGUACUACAUGUACAGGAUAGGUGGGAGACUAUGAAGCAUGGACGCCAGUCUGUGUGGAGUCAUCCUUGGGAUACCACCCUUGUAGUACUGGGAUCCUAACCAUAGGCCUUGAAUCAGGUCUUGGAACACCGUCAGGUGGGCAGUUUGACUGGGGCGGUCGCCUCCUAAAAAGUAACGGAGGCGCUCAAAGGUUUCCUCAGCACGGUCGGAAAUCGUGCGAAGAGUGUAAAGGCAAAAGGAAGCUUGAUUGCAAGACAUACAGGUCGAGCAUGGACGAAAGUCGGACUUAGUGAUCCGGUGGUACCGCAUGGAAGGGCCAUCGCUCAACGGAUAAAAGCUACCCUGGGGAUAACAGGCUUAUCUCCCCCAAGAGUCCACAUCGACGGGGAGGUUUGGCACCUCGAUGUCGGCUCAUCACAUCCUGGGGCUGUAGUAGGUCCCAAGGGUUGGGCUGUUCGCCCAUUAAAGUGGUACGCGAGCUGGGUUCAGAACGUCGUGAGACAGUUCGGUCCCUAUCCGUCGCAGGCGUAGGAAAUUUGAGAAGACCUGUCCUUAGUACGAGAGGACCGGGAUGGACGUACCUCUGGUGCACCAGUUGUUCUGCCAAGGGCAUGGCUGGGUAGCUAUGUACGGAAUGGAUAAGCGCUGAAAGCAUCUAAGCGCGAAGCCAACUUCAAGAUAAGAUUUCCCACCGUAAGGGUAAGACCCCAGGAAGACUACCUGGUUGAUAGGUCGAAGGUGUAAGUGCAGUAAUGUAUUUAGCUUAUCGAUACUAAUAGGUCGAGGACUUGACCU
RNAcentral lists this ribosomal RNA (1451 nucleotides) under metagenome. Its description in RNAcentral is "bacterial LSU rRNA". It matches the Rfam family "Bacterial large subunit ribosomal RNA", at positions 1459 to 2925 of the family's 2925-position model. The record is from RNAcentral.